GAGAAGACCUAGGUUUUGAGAUAGCAUAUGAAGACGGAGCUAGAGCGAUCGACAUGAGGGUGGUUGGGCUUGAUGACUAUAUUGUAGGUCAGGGCAAGGAAUACUGUGUGCCUCAAAUCCUGUCUUUUUUUUUUUUUUUUGCAAUAUGACUCUUCAAAAUCCUUCAAACCACACAUGCACAAAACAUGGAGAAAAAAUCAUGUACAAAGGAUAGACAAUAGGAGUCCUUCAAAUCCCGGUAUUUUUCAUGCACAAAGAAAGCCAAAAAAAGUCAGCUUCUUUUUUCUUUUAUAGUGUUUCUCUAAUUUUCAGGCUAAAAAUUGGGAUACCAAGCAAAUGGCGGAGUGAGGAGGCUUGCGUGGUGUGCCACUGGCCUAUGGCCGGAACUCGAAGAAGAUAUAGGGUUCGGGUGCCUUGAAACUUCAAGUAAUUUUGAGGAUAACAGAAUGCUGCCUAACUCUACUGUAGAAACUACUAUAAAA
This 482-nucleotide long non-coding RNA is filed under the name Phoenix dactylifera (date palm). Its description in RNAcentral is "long non-coding RNA (PDAC_LNC007542)". Lineage: Eukaryota; Viridiplantae; Streptophyta; Magnoliopsida; Arecales; Arecaceae. The record is from RNAcentral.